RNAcentral lists this ribosomal RNA (327 nucleotides) under uncultured eukaryote. RNAcentral's name for it is "partial 18S ribosomal RNA". It matches the Rfam family "Eukaryotic small subunit ribosomal RNA", at positions 592 to 976 of the family's 1831-position model. The record is from RNAcentral.
CAAUAGCGUAUAUUAAAGUUGUUGCAGUUAAAAAGCUCGUAGUUGAAGUUGUAGGGCGUUGGGACCUUGCUCGCUCCGGCGAGGGGUUUCUGCCCUAUUGAUUCGUAUUACUGUGAAAAAAUUAGAGUGUUCCAAGCGGGCUGUUGAUGCUUGCAUAUAUUAGCAUGGAAUAAUAAGAUAGGACACGUGUACCUUUGUUGGUCUGGGUGACGUAGUAAUGAUUAAUAGGGAUAGUUGGGGGUAUUCAUAUUUGGUAGGGAGAGGUGAAAUUCUGAUCUACCAAAGAUGACCGACUGCGAAAGCAUUUACCAAGGAUGUUUUCAUUAA